GCGGGCAACCCUGAUCCAGCCAUGCCGCGUGUGUGAAGAAGGCUUUCGGGUUGUAAAGCACUUUCAGUGAGGAGGAAGGCUGUAAGGUUAAUACCCUUGCAGAUUGACGUUACUCACAGAAGAAGCACCGGCUAACUCCGUGCCAGCAGCCGCGGUAAUACGGAGGGUGCAAGCGUUAAUCGGAAUUACUGGGCGUAAAGCGCGCGUAGGUGGUUUGAUAAGCGAGAUGUGAAAGCCCCGGGCUUAACCUGGGAACGGCAUUUCGAACUGUCAGGCUAGAGUGUGGUAGAGGUUAGUGGAAUUUAAUGUGUAGCGGUGAAAUGCGUAGAUAUAGGAAGGAACGACCAGUGGCGAUCAGGCGGCUACCUGGACCAACACUGACACU
Molecule: ribosomal RNA, 385 nt
Filed under: Marinobacter sp. enrichment culture isolate DGGE gel band 3
Lineage: Bacteria; Pseudomonadati; Pseudomonadota; Gammaproteobacteria; Pseudomonadales; Marinobacteraceae
Description: bacterial SSU rRNA
Rfam family: Bacterial small subunit ribosomal RNA
Source: RNAcentral